Molecule: ribosomal RNA, 519 nt
Filed under: uncultured eukaryote
Lineage: Eukaryota
Description: partial 18S ribosomal RNA
Rfam family: Eukaryotic small subunit ribosomal RNA (bases 13-437)
Source: RNAcentral
AGGGCACCCCCCGGAGUGGAGCCUGCGGCUUAAUUUGACUCAACACGGGAAAACUUACCCGGCCCGGACACUGGAAGGAUUGACAGAUUGAGAGCUCUUUCUUGAUUCAGUGGGUGGGGGUGCAUGGCCGUUCUUAGUUGGUGGAGCGAUUUGUCUGGUUAAUUCCGAUAACGAACGAGACUCUAGCCUACUAAAUAGAUUGCCGGCUUAUUCUCGCCGGCAAGACUUCUUAGAGGGACAGGGGGGUGAUUCCACCGCACGAAACAAAACAAUAACAGGUCUGUGAUGCCCUUUGGAUGCCCCGGGGCCCGCACGCGCGCUACACUGAAGAGAUUAGUGGGCUUUUCUCCCCAGCCCCCCCCCGAAGGGGGAAAACAAAGAAACCUCCCCCGAUCGGGAUAUGGACUUGUAAUUUUUUUCCUUGCCCGAUGAAUCCCCGUACCGGGAGGCCAGCGUCGUUUGUUUCUUCCUUGACGUUCGUGCCCCCGCCCGCGCACACCAGAUUACUACUUAUCUGGG